GAUGAACGCUGGCGGUGUGCCUAACACAUGCAAGUCGAGCGACCGGACGAGAAGCUCGUUCUCUUGAUGUUAGCGGCGGACGGGCGAGUAACAAGUGGAUAACCUUCUUCUUUGACUGGGAUAACUUCGGGAAACCGGAGACAAUAAUGGAUAAUACUAUGAACCGCAUGGAUCAAAAGUGCAAGACGGUUUUGCUGAUACUUUUAGAUGGAUCCGCGCUGCAUUAGCUAGUUGGUAAGGUAACGGCCUACCAAGGCGACGAUGCAUAGCCGACCUGAGAGGAUGAUCAGCCACACUGGAACUGAGACACGGUCCAGACUCCUACGGGAGGCAGCAGUGGGGAAUCUUCCACAAUGGGCGAAAGCCUGACGGAGCAACACCGCGUGGGUGAAGAAGGUCUUCGGGUCGUAAAGCUCUUUUAUUAGGAAAGAAAAUAAGUAUGUUAAACUGUGGACGUCUUGACGGUACCUAAACAAAAAGCCACGGCUAACUUCGUG
Molecule: ribosomal RNA, 497 nt
Filed under: uncultured bacterium
Lineage: Bacteria
Description: partial 16S ribosomal RNA
Rfam family: Bacterial small subunit ribosomal RNA
Source: RNAcentral